This 85-nucleotide transfer RNA is filed under the name Felis catus (domestic cat). It matches the Rfam family "tRNA". From Rfam's summary of the family: Transfer RNA (tRNA) molecules are approximately 80 nucleotides in length. Their secondary structure includes four short double-helical elements and three loops (D, anti-codon, and T loops). The record is from Rfam by way of RNAcentral. Lineage: Eukaryota; Metazoa; Chordata; Mammalia; Carnivora; Felidae.
GCCUGGGUGGCUCAGUCGGUUGAGCGUCUGACUUCGGCUCAGGUCAUGAUCUCACAGUCUGUGAGUUCGAGCCCCGCAUCGGGCC